GCCUUGCUAGCUCAAUCGGUAGAGCGUCAGACUCUUAUCAAGAAUUCUUGGCAUUAUCUGAAGGUUGCGGGCAAGUUUGCACGAAUUUGAGUCGAAAAAUCAAUACUAACCUUCAAUUUCAGGUUCGACCCCCGCGUGAGGCU
Knufia fluminis is the source of this 143-nucleotide non-coding RNA. The record is from the annotation of a GenBank genome assembly. Lineage: Eukaryota; Fungi; Ascomycota; Eurotiomycetes; Chaetothyriales; Trichomeriaceae.